AACGAACGCUGGCGGCGUGCCUAACACAUGCAAGUCGAGCGAGAAAGUCCCUUCGGGGGGUGAGUACAGCGGCGAACGGGUGAGUAACACGUAGGUAACCUACCUCCGGGACUGGGAUAACCUGUCGAAAGACGGGCUAAUACCGGAUAAGACCACGAAGACUCAGGGUUUUUGUGGUAAAAGAUGGCCUCUGCAUGCAAGCCAUUACCUGGGGAUGGGCCUGCGCGCCAUUAGCUUGUUGGUGGGGUAAAGGCCUACCAAGGCGAAGAUGGCUAGCUGGUCUGAGAGGAUGACCAGCCACACUGGGACUGAGACACGGCCCAGACUCCUACGGGAGGCAGCAGUGGGGAAUAUUGCGCAAUGGGCGAAAGCCUGACGCAGCGACGCCGCGUGGGUGAUGAAGGCCCUCGGGUCGUAAAGCCCUGUCGGGAGGGAAGAAACAUCGGCGACCGAAUACGUCGUCGACUUGACGGUACCUCCUAAGGAAGCACCGGCUAACUCCGUG
This 505-nucleotide ribosomal RNA is filed under the name uncultured bacterium. RNAcentral describes it as "bacterial SSU rRNA". It matches the Rfam family "Bacterial small subunit ribosomal RNA", at positions 29 to 507 of the family's 1533-position model. The record is from RNAcentral.